UACCCUACGGGACGCAGCAGUGAGGAAUAUUGGUCAAUGGGCGCGAGCCUGAACCAGCCAAGUCGCGUGAGGGAAGACGGUCCAAUGGGUUGUAAACCUCUUUUGUCAGGGAGCAACGCCGGCUACGUGUAGCCGGACUGAGAGUACCUGAAGAAAAAGCAUCGGCUAACUCCGUGCCAGCAGCCGCGGUAAUACGGAGGAUGCGAGCGUUAUCCGGAUUUAUUGGGUUUAAAGGGUACGUAGGCGGAAUGCCAAGUCAGCGGUAAAAUCGCGGGGCUCAACCUCGCUCCGCCGUUGAAACUGGC
RNAcentral lists this ribosomal RNA (305 nucleotides) under uncultured bacterium. RNAcentral describes it as "bacterial SSU rRNA". It matches the Rfam family "Bacterial small subunit ribosomal RNA", at positions 335 to 637 of the family's 1533-position model. The record is from RNAcentral.